This 77-nucleotide transfer RNA is filed under the name bacterium. RNAcentral describes it as "tRNA-Met". It matches the Rfam family "tRNA". Rfam says of the family: Transfer RNA (tRNA) molecules are approximately 80 nucleotides in length. Their secondary structure includes four short double-helical elements and three loops (D, anti-codon, and T loops). Further hydrogen bonds mediate the characteristic L-shaped molecular structure. tRNAs have two regions of fundamental functional importance: the anti-codon, which is responsible for specific mRNA codon recognition, and the 3' end, to which the tRNAs corresponding amino acid is attached (by aminoacyl-tRNA synthetases). tRNAs cope with the degeneracy of the genetic code in two manners: having more than one tRNA (with a specific anti-codon) for a particular amino acid; and 'wobble' base-pairing, i.e. permitting non-standard base-pairing at the 3rd anti-codon position. The record is from RNAcentral. RNAcentral also lists the same sequence under 3 other names.
GGCGGUGUAGCUCAGCUGGUUAGAGCAACGGAAUCAUAAUCCGUGUGUCCGGGGUUCGAGUCCCUGCACCGCUACCA